Molecule: ribosomal RNA, 200 nt
Filed under: uncultured Lactobacillus sp.
Lineage: Bacteria; Bacillati; Bacillota; Bacilli; Lactobacillales; Lactobacillaceae
Description: partial 16S ribosomal RNA
Rfam family: Bacterial small subunit ribosomal RNA
Source: RNAcentral
GCUAAUACCGGAUAACAAACAGAUGAUGCCUAUCAACUGUUUAAAAGAUGGUUCUGCUAUCACUCUUGGAUGGACCUGCGGUGCAUUAGCUAGUUGGUAGGGUAACGGCCUACCAAGGCGAUGAUGCAUAGCCGAGUUGAGAGACUGAUCGGCCACAUUGGGACUGAGACACGGCCCAAACUCCUCGGGAGGCAGCAGAC